Molecule: unclassified non-coding RNA, 329 nt
Filed under: uncultured fungus
Lineage: Eukaryota; Fungi
Description: partial contains small subunit ribosomal RNA, internal transcribed spacer 1, and 5.8S ribosomal RNA
Rfam family: Eukaryotic small subunit ribosomal RNA (bases 1-73)
Source: RNAcentral
GCAAACUUGGUCAUUUAGAGGAAGUAAAAGUCGUAACAAGGUAACCGUAGGUGAACCUGCGGUUGGAUCAUUAAAAAAUAUUUGGUCUCGCACCAAAUGAACAUUUCUGUGCACUAUUGACUGUUUUUGGUAGUUCGAGUGCCUCGUGCCUAUCGUUUCUCAGGACCUCGGUUCCGGGAGUAAUCCGGUUGGGCUACCGCUAUUUUGUGAAAAACAACUUAAUGUUAUGUUUUUUUGUCUGAACGAAGAGUUAGUCUUUAUUGAUUAAUGAUUUGAAUACAACUUUUGACAACGGAUCUCUUGGCUCUCGCAUCGAUGAAGAACGCAGC